RNAcentral lists this ribosomal RNA (245 nucleotides) under uncultured bacterium. Its description in RNAcentral is "partial 16S ribosomal RNA". It matches the Rfam family "Bacterial small subunit ribosomal RNA", at positions 524 to 768 of the family's 1533-position model. The record is from RNAcentral.
UACGGAGGAUCCAAGCGUUAUCCGGAUUUAUUGGGUUUAAAGGGUGCGCAGGCGGAAUUGUAAGUCAGUGGUGAAAUCCUACAGCUUAACUGUAGAACUGCCAUUGAUACUGCUAUUCUUGAGUAUAUUUGAAGCGGGCGGAAUGUGUCAUGUAGCGGUGAAAUGCUUAGAGAUGACACAGAACACCUAUUGCGAAGGCAGCUCGCUAAACUAUAACUGACGCUCAUGCACGAAAGCGUGGGGAU